This 27-nucleotide microRNA is filed under the name Macaca mulatta (Rhesus monkey). RNAcentral describes it as "mml-miR-497-3p". Its record names the gene mml-miR-497-3p. The record is from miRBase by way of RNAcentral. Lineage: Eukaryota; Metazoa; Chordata; Mammalia; Primates; Cercopithecidae.
CAAACCACACUGUGGUGUUAGAGCGAG